GCGAGGGUAACCAAGCCUGGUCAACGGUGGCAGACUCAAGAUCUGUUCUUGCAGAAGUUCGCGGGUUCAAAUCCCUCCCCUCGCA
RNAcentral lists this transfer RNA (85 nucleotides) under Methanoregula sp. RNAcentral describes it as "tRNA-Leu". It matches the Rfam family "tRNA". Rfam says of the family: Transfer RNA (tRNA) molecules are approximately 80 nucleotides in length. Their secondary structure includes four short double-helical elements and three loops (D, anti-codon, and T loops). The record is from RNAcentral. Lineage: Archaea; Methanobacteriati; Methanobacteriota; Methanomicrobia; Methanomicrobiales; Methanoregulaceae.